Long non-coding RNA from Lepisosteus oculatus (spotted gar), 2199 nucleotides. RefSeq lists it as uncharacterized. Lineage: Eukaryota; Metazoa; Chordata; Actinopteri; Semionotiformes; Lepisosteidae. The record is from RefSeq and is a predicted model, not a curated record.
CCAGGGCAGCUCCUCCGCAUCCAUAUACAAGAAUGACUCACCUGACAGGUACGCAAGAUAAAUCAAGAUGCAGCACUUCUGUGGCACUUGUUUUGAGGUUCUUCUUAAAGCAAAAGGUAAUUCAUCACAGUUACCCACUGGGGGACUGCAGGGGAGCCCCGCUUGAGAUAAAUGUAAAGGUGUUCAAAGUGCUUUCACAGACAAUCAAAAGAGACUGGGAAUGAGACAUCAUGGAAGCAGAACAAUCUUUGUAUAUCACUUUGUGUUCUGUGACUUUAUCUUUUUUUAGUAUGAGAAACUAAGUAGUUCAUGCUGGUUAGAUAAGACACAGCUUUUGUGCCUGUUUUCUGAAUCUGAACUGACAGCCUGGCAUACACUGAAUAUUGCAAAGAAAGGAGUUUGGAAAAAUGAUAUACAGUACAGGAUUGUGGGAUACUAUAGGUUCUUAAUGACAUCAAUCAUUUUUACAAAAAUAAGUCAUACUUCUCUUUAUCAGUUAAACUGAUCAUUUCACAAUGCACAAUGAGCUAAAUAAAAGAUAAAAAACAUAUAUACCAUCAAUGGCCUCCAGAUAACAUGGGCAAAGUAAGAUGUCAGUUCCUGUGUAGAAUUAUUAUGAGGAUUCAAAAUCGAAACCAUAGAAAGUGAAAUCCUUCUCGCUACUUUUAUAGUUAGGGAUUUUUUUAUCUCUUCAUCUCCCCACCCCAUCACAUGCUCUGAGGUUUUUGUGCAUGUCAGUUAACACAACCACUGCAAACGACAAGAAAGUGUCAGUUGCAAAAGUGGGGCAGGAAAAAAAGCUUUUGAAAAGGUAGAUGCUCCCUGCAGGUUUCUGUGGGCUUAGCUGUAAGGCACGGUAACAGGCAUCAGGAUCUGCAAGGUAGAGGGCCAAUGAAAAAGAUUUAAAUGAAGAGUUGUGCUAUUAUUUGGAAGGCUGUGCACUGAGCCAUUUUUCUUUACUGAACUCUAGUUCAACUGUUCACGUAAAUGCACAGUACUUUCAAAAACUGCUACAGACCAGAAAUGCAAAAAAAAUUUUUCACUUGACAAUGUAUUGUAAAAGUACUGUUAAGCUAAGUAAAACAAAUGACAAUUUUAUGAAAAUUAUUCACACCAGUCCAUAUUUAUAUCAUAGUAUGCUCUUUACUACAUAUAAAUCUGAAAAUGUUGAGUGUAACCGUAACCCUUUACCAGACUACAGGGAUAAAUUCAAGAUUUUAACCUACAUGCAUGAAAGUUCCAAAUGUAUACUGUACUACCAUAUUCAUACAGGCUUACAGCAUUAUUCUCAAUACUUUUACAGCAAUUAACAAAUCAUCAUCAACUAAGUGAUGAUGAAAUUCAGAAAAAAAAACUCAAUAGUUAGCUUUAUAGCUGCAUUAUUUUAGCCACUGAUGCCUCUUUGCAAUUAGUACAUCACUGUUUGCAUCAUAUACUGUAUACAGUACAAAGAGCAGAAAACUUGCUUUGGAUUCUCUCAUAGCAUGUUUACUUACAUAUGCAACAAAACCUGACACGGCUGCUAUAAGGUAAUCCCUUAAACCUUUAAAAUGCUAAUCAAAUUUCAAAUGUACAAAAUAAGCGUAUCUUUGUGUUUGCAAAAUCUGAAUGCUACAGUAGAACACAAAUGGUAAUGUAUGAUAAAAUCACCAGAUCCUGUUUCCAGGAGCCCUGUCCAGUGAUAUACAGUAUAAGGUAAAGUGAGUGCAAAAAGUCUUUAAACCUAAAGUUGGUACUUUUUGUAAGUAAAAGACAGCUAGACACCAGCAUCAUACUUUAAGCCUUCUUUGUAUCAAUCUGCCUGUAAACAAAAGAUAUUUAUGGAAUCUACCACAUCUGUAUUUCUCCCUACUCAUUUAUCCAUGAUCCAUCCAUCCAUGUACAGACCUUUUUCCUUUAUUACUGCAAUGAAUCAGUGCUACUUCAUUUUCAAAAAACAGCUAGAUGUCAUUACAGAGGAGUAAACAGACCGCAGUGCGUCUGGACUAAGGCUAUCUUGGAGAAACUGACAAGGCACAAAUGAACAUGACACUAUUCGUUUUAUUAACCACCAACAGAAACAUGAUCGUGUGUGAUAGACAGCCAUUUUGUUUUGUUUUCUUUAUCAAAAUUCAUGAAGUCUGAACUCACAACCAAAAAACAAUCUUUAAAGACUAUCUAGGGAAAUCAUUAUUUACUGAACUGCUGUGCAUAUUGUCU